ACAAUGCAAGUCGAGCGGUAGAGAGAAGCUUGCUUCUCUUGAGAGCGGCGGACGGGUGAGUAAUGCCUAGGAAUCUGCCUGGUAGUGGGGGAUAACGUUCGGAAACGGACGCUAAUACCGCAUACGUCCUACGGGAGAAAGCAGGGGACCUUCGGGCCUUGCGCUAUCAGAUGAGCCUAGGUCGGAUUAGCUAGUUGGUGAGGUAAUGGCUCACCAAGGCGACGAUCCGUAACUGGUCUGAGAGGAUGAUCAGUCACACUGGAACUGAGACACGGUCCAGACUCCUACGGGAGGCAGCAGUGGGGAAUAUUGGACAAUGGGCGAAAGCCUGAUCCAGCCAUGCCGCGUGUGUGAAGAAGGUCUUCGGAUUGUAAAGCACUUUAAGUUGGGAGGAAGGGUUGUAGAUUAAUACUCUGCAAUUUUGACGUUACCGACAGAAUAAGCACCGGCUAACUCUGUGCCAGCAGCCGCGGUAAUACAGAGGGUGCAAGCGUUAAUCGGAAUUACUGGGCGUAAAGCGCGCGUAGGUGGUUUGUUAAGUUGGAUGUGAAAUCCCCGGGCUCAACCUGGGAACUGCAUUCAAAACUGACUGANUAGAGUAUGGUAGAGGGUGUGGGAAUUUCCUGUGUAGCGGUGAAAUGCGUAGAUAUAGGAAGGAACACCAGUGGCGAAGGCGACCACCUGGACUAAUACUGACACUGAG
RNAcentral lists this ribosomal RNA (703 nucleotides) under Pseudomonas sp. Wr1B12. RNAcentral's name for it is "bacterial SSU rRNA". It matches the Rfam family "Bacterial small subunit ribosomal RNA", at positions 53 to 750 of the family's 1533-position model. Lineage: Bacteria; Pseudomonadati; Pseudomonadota; Gammaproteobacteria; Pseudomonadales; Pseudomonadaceae. The record is from RNAcentral.